RNAcentral lists this long non-coding RNA (403 nucleotides) under Populus trichocarpa (black cottonwood). Its description in RNAcentral is "long non-coding RNA (PTRI_LNC001335)". The record is from RNAcentral. Lineage: Eukaryota; Viridiplantae; Streptophyta; Magnoliopsida; Malpighiales; Salicaceae.
GCGCAUCAAAACGAUUCAAAACAUUAAAAAAAUUAUUUUUUAGUAAAAAUAAAUUUGAAUUUUUUGGAAACACGGGUUAGCCCGCGUUUCCAAACACUGCCUAAAACGUUAAAGACUGUUAUUGUGCAAAUUAGGGAUUUAUUGUCAAUACAUUAAUAUCGAUUCACGAAAAUGAUAGUCGCCACAAUUAUUACUCACUAAUACUUGAUCUCUUAUAAAUUUAUCUGCGACUUAGAUUCAGGGAUUGGUUCAUAUCUCAUGUGACUCGUUUUAUUGAGUCUAAUUUGCUAAGAAAGGCCUUUCAGUCUAUUGCAUGCUGGAUUGUGUGGGAAAAUGGCAUAAAACUUGUUAUCUUGUGUCAAGACUCGCAUAUUGCUCUUGAUGAAGAUGAACCUGAUAAGCC